This 114-nucleotide ribosomal RNA is filed under the name archaeon. RNAcentral also lists the same sequence under 1 other name. The record is from RNAcentral.
UCGGACGGCCAUAGUGGCUGGGUUCACCUGUUCCCAUUUCGAACACAGAAGUUAAAAUAGCCGACGUUUCCAACUGUACUGUAAUCUUACGGGAAAUUGGAAUCGCUGUCCGCC